CAUGUCUUCUAUUUUAUGGCGGAAUGAAAAGUAUAAGGUUUUCCUAAUGGCAAAAAUGUAUUAGGCUAAACUUAUACUUUUUCAUUUGAAGCCUGGAGUGAAAAAAAAACAUGGCGAUCGGGACUUGUGGAGAUAAUCAUCUCACGCGAUGGUUCAUAAGAUUAUGUUAAACAGUAUCCGUUGAAGAGAUUGCAAGUUAAGUCAGGCUUUCAUACAAGAGGACUCGGCUAAAAAAGACCCCUGAGGAACUCGCACGGAACAGGCACGACAUGAGGACAGGCACAAUGGGGAAUCGAAACAGAAAAAGCAACGGCCAAGAAUCUAUAUAGCGCAGCAUACCUAUUCCGUCGAGACAAGAUGUUAUGCCAAAAUAUUUCAUGAGCUGCCAAUAAAAAUGCUAGUAAUGACAAAAU
This is a long non-coding RNA of Armigeres subalbatus, 413 nucleotides long. RefSeq lists it as uncharacterized. The transcript is spliced from 3 exons. NCBI's taxonomy places the organism in Eukaryota, Metazoa, Arthropoda, Insecta, Diptera, Culicidae. The record is from RefSeq and is a predicted model, not a curated record.